RNAcentral lists this transfer RNA (75 nucleotides) under Micavibrio aeruginosavorus. RNAcentral's name for it is "tRNA-Gly". It matches the Rfam family "tRNA". From Rfam's summary of the family: Transfer RNA (tRNA) molecules are approximately 80 nucleotides in length. The record is from RNAcentral. Lineage: Bacteria; Pseudomonadati; Bdellovibrionota; Bdellovibrionia; Bdellovibrionales; Pseudobdellovibrionaceae.
GCGGGUGUAGCUCAGGGGUAGAGCAUUACCUUGCCAAGGUAAGGGUCGAGGGUUCGAAUCCCUUCACCCGCUCCA